UGCAAUCUACCUUUUACAGAGGGAUAGCCCAGAGAAAUUUGGAUUAAUACCUCAUAGCAUAGCAAUCUCGCAUGAGAUCACUAUUAAAGUCACAACGGUAAAAGAUGAGCAUGCGUCCCAUUAGCUAGUUGGUAAGGUAACGGUUUACCAAGGCUACGAUGGGUAGGGGUCCUGAGAGGGAGAUCC
This 186-nucleotide ribosomal RNA is filed under the name uncultured Bacteroidota bacterium. RNAcentral's name for it is "uncultured Bacteroidetes bacterium partial 16S ribosomal RNA". It matches the Rfam family "Bacterial small subunit ribosomal RNA", at positions 120 to 306 of the family's 1533-position model. Lineage: Bacteria; Pseudomonadati; Bacteroidota. The record is from RNAcentral.